This 402-nucleotide ribosomal RNA is filed under the name uncultured bacterium. Its description in RNAcentral is "bacterial SSU rRNA". It matches the Rfam family "Bacterial small subunit ribosomal RNA", at positions 355 to 774 of the family's 1533-position model. The record is from RNAcentral.
UGGGGAAUCUUGCACAAUGGGGGCAACCCUGAUGCAGCGACGCCGCGUGAGCGAUGAAGCCCUUCGGGGCGUAAAGCUCUUUCGACCGGAACGAUAAUGACGGUACCGGGAGAAGAAGCUGCGGCUAACUACGUGCCAGCAGCCGCGGUAACACGUAGGCAGCAAGCGUUGUUCGGAGUUACUGGGCGUAAAGAGUGCGUAGGCGGUUUUCUAAGUUCGGUGUGAAAUCUCCCGGCUUAACUGGGAGGGUGCGCCGAAGACUGGGAAGCUGGAGUGUGGGAAAGGCAGGCGGAAUUCCUGGUGUAGCGGUGAAAUGCGUAGAUAUCAGGAGGAACACCGGCGGUGUAGACGGCUUGCUAGACCAUAACUGACGCUGAGGCACGAAAGCGUGGGUAGCAAACA